This 504-nucleotide ribosomal RNA is filed under the name uncultured bacterium. RNAcentral's name for it is "partial 16S ribosomal RNA". It matches the Rfam family "Bacterial small subunit ribosomal RNA", at positions 29 to 523 of the family's 1533-position model. The record is from RNAcentral.
AUUGAACGCUGGCGGCAGGCCUAACACAUGCAAGUCGAACGGUAGCACAGAGAGCUUGCUCUCGGGUGACGAGUGGCGGACGGGUGAGUAACGUCUGGGAAACUGCCCGAUGGAGGGGGAUAACUACUGGAAACGGUAGCUAAUACCGCAUAACGUCGCAAGACCAAAGUGGGGGACCUUCGGGCCUCACACCAUCGGAUGUGCCCAGAUGGGAUUAGCUAGUAGGUGGGGUAAUGGCUCACCUAGGCGACGAUCCCUAGCUGGUCUGAGAGGAGGGCCAGCCACACUGGAACUGAGCAACGGUCCAGAAUCCUACGGGAGGCAGCAGUGGGGAACAUUGCACAAUGGGCGCAAGCCUGAUGCAGCCAUGCCGCGUGUAUGAAGAAGGCCUUCGGGUUGUAAAGUACUUUCAGCGGGGAGGAAGGCGGUGAAGUUAAUAACUUCACCGAUUGACGUUACCCGCAGAAGAAGCACCGGCUAACUCCGUGCCAGCAGCCGCAGUAA